UACGGAGGGUGCUAGCGUUGUUCGGAAUCACUGGGCGUAAAGGGCGUGUAGGCGGUCCGCUAAGUCUGAUGUGAAAUCCCCUCGCUCAACGAGGGAACUGCGUCGGAUACUGGUGGACUCGAGUACCGGAGAGGAAGGUGGAAUUCCCGGUGUAGCGGUGAAAUGCGUAGAUAUCGGGAGGAACAUCGGUGGCGAAGGCGGCCUUCUGGACGGAUACUGACGCUGAGACGCGAAAGCGUGGGGAGCAAAC
This 250-nucleotide ribosomal RNA is filed under the name uncultured bacterium. RNAcentral describes it as "partial 16S ribosomal RNA". It matches the Rfam family "Bacterial small subunit ribosomal RNA", at positions 524 to 773 of the family's 1533-position model. The record is from RNAcentral.